CCUACGGGUGGCAGCAGUGGGGAAUAUUGGACAAUGGGGGCAACCCUGAUCCAGCCAUGCCGCGUGUGUGAAGAAGGCCCUCGGGUUGUAAAGCACUUUCAGUGAGGAAGAACGCCUGGUGGUUAAUACCCAUCAGGAAAGACAUCACUCACAGAAGAAGCACCGGCUAACUCCGUGCCAGCAGCCGCGGUAAUACGGAGGGUGCGAGCGUUAAUCGGAAUUACUGGGCGUAAAGCGCGCGUAGGUGGCUUGAUAAGCCGGUUGUGAAAGCCCCGGGCUCAACCUGGGAACUGCAUCCGGAACUGUCAAGCUAGAGUGCAGGAGAGGAAGGUAGAAUUCCCGGUGUAGCGGUGAAAUGCGUAGAGAUCGGGAGGAAUACCAGUGGCGAAGGCGGCCUUCUGGACUGACACUGACACUGAGGUGCGAAAGCGUGGGUAGCAAACAGGAUUAGAUACCCCUGUAGUC
RNAcentral lists this ribosomal RNA (465 nucleotides) under Vreelandella stevensii. Its description in RNAcentral is "partial 16S ribosomal RNA". It matches the Rfam family "Bacterial small subunit ribosomal RNA", at positions 338 to 795 of the family's 1533-position model. Lineage: Bacteria; Pseudomonadati; Pseudomonadota; Gammaproteobacteria; Oceanospirillales; Halomonadaceae. The record is from RNAcentral.